UGUGAUUCUUCCCUGAAGGAUCUCACCAGCUCCCUGUUAAGCAUCAUUUCGUCAUCUAUCUGCCUCUCUCCUCCCUUCCUUCUUCUUGUCCUUCCUUUCUGUUAACAAAUAUUGAGCAUUUACUGUGUGCUAUGUACAUUUUGAGGUUCUGGGGAUACAGUGGUGAACACCAAAGAAAUCCUUUCCACGAUGGAGUUGAACAGACAGCAGGAAUGCCAGGCAAUAACACAGGAUAUAGAUAACUGAAAUACACAGUAAGCUAAAUGAUGACAAGUGCUAGGGAGAAAAAUAAAGCAGGCAAGGGAGACUGGAGAGGGGUGGGGUGGUUAGGGAGUGACCCUUGAGUCAAGACCUGCAGGUGGUGAGGGAGAGAGCCAUGCCAACAUCUGGGAGAAGAGCAUUUCCAACAGAAGCAGCUGCAUGUGCAAAGGCCCUGAGGUAAGAGAAUGUCAGAGAAUUCCAGGCGGCCAAUAAGGCCAGAGCAGAGGGAGUACGGGGGCAGACAUGCUGAGGACUUUGACUCUGAGUGAGAUGGGAGUCCUUGGCAGGUAAGAGCAGGGAACUGAUGUGGUCUGACUUCGAUUUAACAGGGUCCCCCUGAUUAUUGAGAAUAGGUAAGAGUGGGUUUGUACCAAGGUGAACUGGUUAAUUCCUAGGAACCAGCCACACCCAGAGGUCUGUGGGCCACGAAGGGCCUGGGAAGGUCAUGCAGCCUGAGUUGCUAAAGAUGUGAUGAUGGGUUCUGCAGGCACCAGCUCCUCCUGUGGCUGGGUCAGCCCCUGCCCUGUUGUCUCCUGGGAACCCCUCUUCUCCCCACCCCCACACACAGCAGGUCUCAGAUUGGAGGCCCUUUUGCUCACCCUUCCUCAGGAGCGACUGCCUUUUGCUCACCCUUCCUCAGGAGCGACUGCUGUGGUUUAUAGACCUGAUGGAGGUACCACCCUUCCUGCCGGUGGGGACUGUGGGAGUCCCUUAGCCAUGCACACCCAUGUUGGCUGCAUGUGUGGCCACAGGACAAACCUCCUCCACGUGGAAGCCCUCCUGCAGAGUACGCAGGGCACUGGGACCCAUCCUAGGAGUCUGGACCCCCACACCGGUACUCCACUCUGUCUCUCCCAGGCAGUGUGCUCUCAAGAAAGCCCCUCACUCACUCUUGGCCUCAGUCUCCCCAUCUGUACAACCACGGAAGACCCCCAUGGCUCCUCCAGUUCUGAGAGUCUUCUCUGCAUCAGGAGGUGCUGGAAAAUAUUUGGGGGAGGCACAGCAAGGAAUGACAACUCUAUAUUCCCACCUCUUCUGUGUAUAUUUGAACAAGGACUGCAGCAUUCCUCCAGAGAGAGAAAGAGCUUGAAAUAAUCACCUUUAUUCACCACUAAGUGCCGCUGUGUGGUCUACAACACCACAUAUUACGAGAGCUGGUGCAAAAUGGAGGCCCAGAAAGUGUGGAACAGAAACUGGAAGGAAAGCACACACUCCCCGGCCACUUGCAGGAUUAUCUUCUACUAUGCGGCCUUCUAAACAUUCGCCUCC
This 1530-nucleotide long non-coding RNA is filed under the name Homo sapiens (human). Its description in RNAcentral is "non-protein coding lnc-AKNA-2:1". The record is from RNAcentral. Lineage: Eukaryota; Metazoa; Chordata; Mammalia; Primates; Hominidae.